CAUAAAAGAAAAGAAAUUUGAUUGGCACUUCCACGAAGAAUGAUUCGUUAAAAGCGAAACACUGAAUGGGUCAGCUAAAACACUGUAUAAAUAUAUAAGUAGGCCAGCCAGGGAAGAUUUUUAUCUGAAAAAUUAAGCUUACCCCUUCAAUUAUAUUAUUUAAUAAAUAAUCUUAUUAUGAAAUAAUGUACAUGUUAUCACCAUCAUGGCAUGGCAUAAACUUUACCUAUAAAUAGAGGUAUGAGAAAGUCUCUCUUACACCAUCCAAACUAGAUUCUUAUCAACAGCUUCUACACAUAUAUCCCAAUCCUCACCAUAUCUCUCUCUUUCUCUCUUUCUCUCUUUCUCUCUUUCUCUCUCUAGCUAUCUGUCUAGAUCUCAAGAUCAACCGGCAAUUGAAUUUGGUAACUUUACUGAUGUACAUACUAUAUGUGUUCUAUAUAGAUAUAUCUAUAAAGUUAGCUUUUUUUUUUGUUUAAAAAUAAAAUCAUAUGGUUGAGGAGGCAGCUGAUGUUGUUGACAGAAGAUAGAGAGCACAGAUGACCGAAUGCGUAGCAGCAUCUCACUCCUUUGUGCUCUCUAUUCUUCUGUCAUCACCUCUCGAUAUCAGCAGAUACAGCCAUGUCUCUUUCUCUCUUUCUCUCUUUCUCUCUCUCCAUAUGAAUCUAUUAUUAUUGUAACACAUAAAGAAUACCUAAAUUAGAAAAAAAGACUGAAAUUGUUUCUUGAUCUGAUCUUCUUUCCCCUUUCCCCCCUCUUAAUCACUAUCAUGUUUCAUGAUUUUUCGAGGCAUGCAAUUUAAUUUGUUUUAUUUCAUAUAUCUCUCUUUGUUUUUAUGGAAUCAAUUUCGGAAUUUCAUUAAGUAAUUUUUUAUUGGUUUGUUAAUAAAUAACGACUCUACAAUUCAAAACCACUCUACUGCUUGUGUUCUGAUUCUGAACAUAUUACAAGUACAACUGUUUAUUGUCGAGUGAAUUUCGUAUUUGACAAAUUGUGUUCUUUAAUUUCUGUUUUAACUGUAGGCGGUUUUGUGUGUGUGAAAGAGAAUGUUAAAAUAUGAUCCUACUUUUCUUGUUCACUCAUUUACACUUAGCAUGUCAAGUUAAAUAAACAAAUUGUAGUUCAAGGUAAUAUACUAUGUAUUGAUUGAUCAUUUGCCCAGAUCUUCUAUAUGUUUAAGUUGAUUAUUUCAUGGUUCAAGCUAGCUAUAUAUUGUGGUGUGUUUCCAUUUUGACAUAUGCUAAUUAAUGAUUCUAGUACAUGUGCAUUUCGCUAGGGCAUCGAUUAUAAUUUCAAUAUAUAUUAUUGUAUAAAUAUAUACUUCUUUAUUAAUUAAAUCAUGGCUCUUAAUUUAUUAUGUCUACAAGUUUAAAAAGUUAUAUAUGUGGGUAGUUAUAAUUUUUAAUUACUAUCUAUGGCUUGUUUUUGUAGAUUUGGUACAUGGUACAACUUAUUUUUUUUCUCCUAAAUUUAUUAUGAGUUAUAUAAGUUUAGUUAGGAGACCUGUCACAAAUUUUGUAGAAAUUUAGGAUAAUUUAGAUUAUCAAAAUAAUUUCAUCAAAAAAAAAAAAAAAAUAGGUUAUCAAAAUAAUUAGGAUAAAACUUCUUGUUUAAUUAUUUUGGUAUUUUUAUGCAUUUAUAACAAUGUCUUUCUUUUUGUCGGCUAUAACAAGGUAUUUGAAUCUUUAUUUAGACAUUGUACAUAACUAUUUGAUAUUUUCUUAAAUUUGUGGGAGAUAACUUUUAACAAUAUAUAUUGUAUGUACACCAUACCAUAUAACAAAAUAGCUAGACGUGAAGUACUUAUUCAUAUAUUGUAUAAAUUAAAACUAUCAAAUUAUACCUAUGUAUAUACCACCACUAUAUAGUACUGGUUAUAUAAAAUAAAAUAGGGUUGUUAUUAUGCAUGGUACUAUAAUAAUAAGCCUAUGUAGCUAAUAACAUUAUUCCUCCCAUUAACAUUAGUGUAGUAAUAAGUUUUGUUAAAGAUAUAGUUCUUUUUUUAUAUAGACUAAACCACACCAAAUUAUCAUUUAUAUAUUUAAUUACCGAAACUUUAGCAAGGAGUUAAAUAAGUUAGUAGCUACUAAUAAGUCUAAUAUAAAUCUCAAAAUUUACUCACACAUGAGAUCAAUGUUGGAGAAACAAACAAUUUUCUUUUUUUUUUUCCUUCUUUUUUUGGAUAUAUUUAAUAACACCAAACUAUCAUUUAUUUAAUUCCUCCAUUCAGGCUAUAGGUAAUAGUUUCUGUUGAUUGGAUUUUAACACCAUAUAUAUGCAUGUAAAUAUAAGAAUUCGUAUCUUUAAAUUGACAUGCAUGUGGUACAUAUAUAUGUUAAAAUUUGUGGAGUCAUGCAUAUCCAUGUCACCACAUUCUAAAAUUCACUGGCUGGUUUGACUAGGUUAAGCUUAUAAUUAACAGUUUUUUAAAGCAAAGGUAGUGUUGUGCUUGCUGCUGAAGAUAGCAAUAAGUUUCACAAAUAGGGGGCUCCUCUCUGUUGAAGUGGCCAAAUUACUGGUUAUUAAAAAGGGGAUGGAGCUUCCUCUUCGUUUUGAAUUUCAAAGGCUUCCACAGGUGAUAUUAACAAUUCGAGAAGUUGUUAGUAAUCGAAAGAGUUGAAGGAGUCUGAUAUGUUUAAUCAUUGUUCUAAGUUCUUCCACUAUGUUGCAGCUGGGACUCAUAUUGCCCAUCAUAUAUUCAGUAUCUCAAUUUAUUGCAUGCCUUAAACAAUUGUCUUAUGUGUGUUCUGGCUUCUGUAAUUAUUGAUGCAAAUUUGCCGAUCCUUAUAUGAUGAUCUUUGCUUCGUUCAAUGAAGUUGUGGACACAUUACAUUUACCAUUAAACCAACGAUGCCUCUUCUCACAGUAGUAUAGUGGUAUGUUGGAAAUCUGGAUAAUUAAUCCACCUAAUCACAUCUGUCUGUUAUUAUUUAUCGCAUCCAUCCAGUAAAGUAGGAUAAAUAAUCUCAUACAUCUACCGUACCUAGAAUUUUCAAUGACUUCACGAUGAGGACACCUUCUUUCAAUACCAAGUAUAGUAGAUUGCAUAUCUUUAGCAUCGUUUAGCCAGCAGCUCCUCACCAAACAAGUUGGGAAAUUCAUUAUCUCCAAAUUCUUUAAUGAAAGAAAAAUAUGUCUGCAUGGGAUUCCUUUUGUCUCAAACCAAUAGUAAUCACAUCGUACAUUCUCAUGGUCAUUAGAAGUAAGAACAUUACCCUUUACUCCAUUUUCACCUUUCAUGUAUUUUUUGACCAAAGAGUAUACCUGUUGGAAAUUAUUUUACCAAGAUCUUAGAUCUACUCACAAGUAUGUUGAUUUAACAACCUAAAUAUGAACUUCUAAAACGAUAGAAAAUUAAACACAUAAAAGUAAGAGAAAUCUUACGUUGGGUUCAGCGGAAUAUAUGUCUCCUCCAACUCAGAUCUCUAACCCUUGAUUCCUUUCU
Molecule: long non-coding RNA, 3445 nt
Organism: Cannabis sativa
Lineage: Eukaryota; Viridiplantae; Streptophyta; Magnoliopsida; Rosales; Cannabaceae
Exons: 3
Source: RefSeq, a predicted model, not a curated record